GAUGAAGAACGCAGCGAAAUGCGAUAAGUAGUGUGAAUUGCAGAAUUCCGUGAAUCAUCGAAUCUUUGAACGCACAUUGCGCCCCCUGGUAUUCCGGGGGGCAUGCCUGUCCGAGCGUCAUUACAACCCUCAAGCUCAGCUUGGUGUUGGGCCCCGCCGCCCCGGCGGGCCCUAAAGUCAGUGGCGGUGCCGUCCGGCUCCGAGCGUAGUAAUUCUUCUCGCUCUGGAGGUCCGGUCGUGUGCUCGCCAGCAACCCCCAAUUUUUUUCAGGUUGACCUCGAAUCAGGUAGGGAUACCCGCUGAACUUAAGCAUAUCAAUAAGCGGAGGA
RNAcentral lists this unclassified non-coding RNA (329 nucleotides) under soil metagenome. Its description in RNAcentral is "partial contains 5.8S ribosomal RNA, internal transcribed spacer 2, and large subunit ribosomal RNA". The stretch from base 1 to 120 matches the Rfam family "5.8S ribosomal RNA", at positions 35 to 154 of the family's 154-position model. The record is from RNAcentral.